This 736-nucleotide small RNA is filed under the name Pan troglodytes (chimpanzee). RNAcentral's name for it is "retained intron". Lineage: Eukaryota; Metazoa; Chordata; Mammalia; Primates; Hominidae. The record is from RNAcentral.
ACCAGUUGGGUGGCCCACAACUUCGGGUGUUCCGAACCAACUUCUUCAUUCAGCUGGUGCGGCCCGGUGUGGCCCAGCCCGAGGACACCGUGCAGUUCCGGAUCCCCAUGGAAAUGACAAGGGUGGACCUCAGGAAUUACCUCGAGGGCAUCUAUAACGUGCCCGUGGCUGCUGUGCGGACACGAGUGCAGCAUGGCUCUAACAAGAGAAGAGAUCACAGAAACGUGAGGAUCAAGAAGCCGGACUACAAGGUCGCCUACGUGCAGCUGGUGCGUGUGAGCUGGCCAGCCCCAGCGGGGCCUCCGAGGGGCUCCUCACAACUGUGUCCUUGGGGAUGUUUGUGCCGGAGACGCUGCGCUGGGGCCCAGGGAGCCCCCGUGAGGCCGGAUCUCAGGGCCUCGGCGCAGAGGCAGGCUCCACAUAAGGUCAUGCUCCGUCACGGCCUUGGGGGUGUUAGUGGUGGCGCUGGGAGCACGUGAGCACUGGGGCACAUGGGGCACGUCUCAGCGUCCAGCCGUUUUGUGAUUUUGAAGUUUGAAUUCUCUGUGGGCAAAGGCAGCCAUCACAGGCCUAGUGGGUUUCAACUCCAACGCACACCAGGGUGUCUGAGCAUGGGAGGCCCCGGCCUCUGGAGAGCCUGUCCUUGGCUGGGUUUCAGCCUCGGAGGCAGAGUGUGAGGCCCCUGAGGGCAAAGGUCUUUGGUGCCAAGGCAGGUCUGGCUGGCCGGGCUGUUGGC